CAAAACUCAUAUUGCAGGCAAAAACCUGUGAAAAAUAGAUUUAAAAAAAUGUGAAUUUUGUGACCACUAGAUGUCAACGAUCUUUAUAAAGUUGUUUGAAGCGUCUAUGAUAAACAGAGAGCAAAUUAGAAUCCAAGGAAGUUGACAUGUCAUCACUUCAUUUUUUUGCGCCUGCGCAUAAAUCUGAGAAACAAACCACAUUUGUUCCGGACCUGGAAUGCCUUCCGGACCUGGGAUCCUGCCUUCUGAUGGAGAUAAUCAAAGGUGAAUUACAGGAGAAGGUGAUUCACUCAGUACAACCAGGAGACUGGGUGUGGAUCCAGUCCCUGAGGAGAAAAGACGGGAAGCAGCCCCGUUGGGAAGGCCCAUACCAGGUUCUGUUAAACCACUGCCUUUGCCAUUAGAAAAGCUGAGAGAGUCACUUGGGUCCACGUUACCCACUGCAAGGAGGUAUGUACACAUAUGAACACUGUUGAUCACACACAGAGUUAGGAGAAGAACCGAUACCAACAGGGUCCGGGGGUUACCUCCUUAACGAAGAUUUCCUAUCCCGACCGUUCAUCACUGUGUGUGCUCCUAGAGGUGUGAGUAUGGGGUGGUACCAAGCAGAGAGACUAAGGGCAGGAGAGGUUUGACGGUUUUUGGGAAGAGUAGAGACUCUGAGCUGUAUCAUAGUCUAAUCUUUCUGAUACAUUCAGAUCCACCAUCUUCUGGUACUAAUCAUAGGAUACCAAUCAUAGGAUACCGUUGUCAUUGAGAAGAAGUAGAAGAUAAACUAUAUAAUACUCUGAUGAGUGACAUACAGAAUAAGGAAUCAAAGAUCAAGAUGUAGAAUUUAAGGUAAACAUUAAACAAUUUCCUGGGGAAGCAGACAACUGUACAGGAAUUGGGCUUGGCCAGAUUGAAGUACUCAGCCAACCCACCUCGGUUCACCUAAAUUAAAACCACAGCUGCUGCGACAACAACCACAGCUUAUUCUGACAUAACCACAUCUGCACCAACAACAACCACAGCCG
Molecule: long non-coding RNA, 1016 nt
Filed under: Salmo salar (Atlantic salmon)
Lineage: Eukaryota; Metazoa; Chordata; Actinopteri; Salmoniformes; Salmonidae
Description: lncRNA (ENSSSAG00000095128.1)
Source: RNAcentral